AAAAAAAAAAGACAAAUUAUGGUACAUCACUCAAUACUACACCCCAAUGCAUACUCAGAUUUAAAAAUUUAAGAUAAAUGGGUUUUAUUAGAGCAACGGCUUCUAUUCUUUGUCCUCUGUGAAUAUUUCCCUAAUACUUAGAUAAAGUAGGAUGUUUCACAAUUCUUUGCCAUGCCGUGCUGUGAAAUGUUUGGCUGUUGUCCUUAGAAUCUGGUAAUGUCAAUCACAUUUUUGUUCUUACCUAGGGCUCAAUUUUUAAUGCCACAUGAGGCAGCAUCCUGACAAGGAGAAGACCUAAUGGCAGAGCUGUAGUUUCAAAUACUCCAACAGGUUCAUUUAGACAUACUAUUACACAAUGACCUAGUUUAGAGCUGUCAUGGGGUGGCAAUUAAUCUUUGUCACUCCAUACUCAUUCUAGAAGCACCUGAAGCCUAAAGAACUCCCUGGAGCCACAUCCCUUCCUGCCAGCUUUCUGUGGAGGGGUUCAGUUCUGCUCCAGAGCACAUUUACUCGCUUCAGUAGCCCUGAACACCUUCAGGGUCCCUAGAUGAAGGCAAAUCUCAGUACAAGAGCAAUAAAAAUAUGAAUCACAAAAUGUAAUCCACUGAGUUUACACACCCCCAAAGUUGAUGGGAGAUUAAUUUAUUUUGAAAUCUGCAUCAGCCAGUCAUUUGUAGCUCCCAGUUAUUCAGGCAGUACAUUUCCUUCCCCUACCGACUCAUAAGUAUUUUUCAUGGGUCAUAUUUUCACCAAAUCUCAAUUCUUUUCAGCUGUUGACUUCUGCUCAGAGCAGCAGGUGCCUGGAUAACUCUUCACACAUGCUGCUCUGGUUGUUGGGUGCUGACAUCCCUGCAGCUUCUAUUUUUCUGGAUGAGCUUCCCUCUAUAUGGGCAACUCCACCUCCUUUGGCUUUUGUCUCUGCAUCAUCUACAAAUACCGUCUGGCCCAGGAGGCCCCUAAAACAGCUUCUUACACCUGACCCAUGGGAUACAUAUGAAUGCAUUGCAGUUGGGCCUCUUCCAACUCUUUAGUCAAGUCACUAGAAAUGUUUCCUUGAAAUGCUGCAUCUGGUCUAAAUGACUCACCCUGAGGCUGGGAAUUCACAGCUGAUGCCUUUAAAAAAACACCCUAAAUUUCUGCCUCAGUGCUUACAGCUCUGUUGCUAACUAUCUUCUGCAGCUAACAAACUAUGAGUUGUCUUUGUGCAAACUCUUUUCAAAGUAAAUGUUAACACAAAAGACUCUAAUAGUCUCCCACUGAGCACACAGUCUCGGAGUAUUACUCACUCUAAAUUCAAUACACAAAGUUCUGCCUCCUUAAAGCUAUCUUCUGACCAGGAGAGGGAAACCCCCAGCAAAGCUUCCUCAAUGCAAGUAGCCACCCUGUAAAGGCUGCCCUUUUGCUGCCCUUUUUACUGUAUAGUCGCAAGCUCCAAGGAGACACAUUUCUGCAUUUUUCCUUCCUGCACAUCAAGAAAAGAUUUAUAAGACUUUGCUCUGCAAGAUGGUCAGCCUACACAUGAAAAAUUUUGACAAAGACUUUUGGCCUUGACACACUGUCAAGAUGCAGUCUUGCUUUCCCUCUCCCUUCAGCUCAGUGACUGGAAGGCCCUCCUACUCAAGGCCAACAAAUUUCUCUUUAGAAGGUGCUUUUCCUAUUUUGAGCCCACUGCUUAAGUCCAAAGUACACCAUGGACUCCAGGGGAAGGCGCAGCACGGAGAUCAGCAGUGCCCUCCUUUACUGCCUCUGGCCUCAGAGGCAGCAAUUACAGUAUAAAGCUGCAUAGCUUGUUAUUAAUAAAAUACUGCACCAUCUUUUGGAGGAAAUGCUGUCUGGCCUAAUAUUUUUAAACUACUUAUCCCCUCACUUGUCUAGGAGAGAGUAGGCAGUGGGUGUUGCAACCUGGAGGCAACUGAGUUGCUAGAAAGGUAAUGGCUGAGUUAAAGACCUGCUCAGGUUUUUACAGAGGAAGGCUUAAGUCAAGUCAGGGCAAUGAUGGGAGACUUACAAGAGUCUUCUAAACCUGAAUCUGACCCCUGAACUGUGAGUAUCCUGCAGAGUAUUGCUUUUAGGUGACCAGGCUUGCUGCUAAUACGCUUUUCUCAGUAGGCAAACAGUAACCAAGGCAGUUUGCCAAACUGCCUUGACCUCUUUAUUAGAAUGAAAGAAUAUUGACUCAUACAUCUGCCAAUUUGUUUGCUGUGUGGUCAAAGAUUCAUUGGGUGAUCUAAGGCACUGAUCCAGGUGGGCUACCAAUACCUUUUGUAUUGGCAAUAAAAUAUUUGUUUAAGUCUUUGUCUCAAGUAAAAUAGAUGUUCUUAUGAAGAUUAACAUUAGAAUUGUACUUAAUGGUGGUUUUGCUAUCUUUUUUUACUUCUUCACAGGAAAGAAAGACCUAGAAUAAUUUCUUAUUGUGGCAGUAAAAUUUCAUUUAACUUUCUCAGCUCUUUAUUGUAGAAUUACUCCCAUAUAGCACUAUGGCUGAUGUGUAAAGGUAAACAGCAUUAUUUUAUUUUUUCUGUGACUUACUGAACAUAAGUCCACAUUUAUUCAGACUUUGUGGAGCACAGUGAUGUGUAGGAAAAUUAUAGUUACCAGGCAAAUGAAUAUUUUAGUUCAUUUAAUUUAUGUUUAUCUACCUCUAAAAUAAAAUGCAGACAUAUGGGGCAAAAGUCUUGUCUGAUGCCUAUGGCUUGUGAUCUAAGAUUCGCAGGCAGUAGACAGACUUUUUAUUCCUUUAUGUCUAUGGGAGAACUAGAGUUAUUAAUGCUGGUAAAAUAACAGCUGCUGAAUGUUAUUUCCAUAUGACCUAACAACUAUAGCACAUGCCAUCCCCUGAUAACUUAGUUGUUCUCUUUUACAGUCCUCACUGUGAUGGUUUCAGAUAUUCAAAUUCUUUAUCCUUCUCCCAGUGUAUCAGAUGACUCUAAACAGUCAGUGUGGUCCAAUAGGCCCUUUGCAGAAGGCUCUGCUUUUUUUUCUUUUCCUAAUGGGGGAAUUGCUUAGUAAGCAGGGCCUUCUGGGCUCAUAAAUAGAAAUACUGGAUGCAUGUCCUGUCUCUGUGCCUGUCUCCUUGCUGAUGGAAGGCCAUUUAAAUUUCUUUUUCCAUAAUUCUGACAGUGAGUGUUACUGAAUCUCCAUUGCCAAAGAUAUCUGAGAUCUGCCCAGCCCUCUGCUGUACCUCUGAGGCUAUGAUGCUGAACCUCCUAUCCCUGUGAUGUGACUUCAGUGCUUUCCUUUUGCAGAGGAGGGAGAAGGGCCUUUGGACACUUCUGGUCCCAUCACACCCAGUAAUCCUUCUACUUACCCAGCAUACUGUAAAUUUUUGUUAACAGUAAAGGCUCUGACAAAAGAGGAAUACAGAAGGUUAUACAAGAAAAAAAUGACCCAUCUAUAAAACUAUUUAUUUUUUAAGUUGAUCAAGAGAUCAGUUGUCAACUGUUCCUCUUACUCCUUCUUCCAGCUACUAGACACUCCUGCAAAUACUAUGUAAAACCAAUAAGCAAUUAAAUGCUGUAUGUUGCUAAAGAAUUGAUAUAUAUGUAUGUUUCAGUUCUGCAAUCUGUUCCUUUCCUAUGAAUCCAGGCAUGGUGAACAAAAUCAUAUAUAUUAAAAAAAUUACUAUAUUUUAAAAAUUCUAGAAGAAAUCACUUAAAUACAACUAUUUGAAGUGGAGCAAAGGAUGCCAGCUACAACAGGAGAUUGACUUUUUCUAGGUAUUCACGAAGUUAUGCUUUCUGCUGGUCUUACUUUGUUAAUUUUCCAUAACUCAAUUGUCCCACUACUUUUUGUGCUUGAUUGCUGAACAGCUUUUGGUCAUGGGCUUCUUUUGAUUAAACAGAUACAGCUGAAGUUCUCCCACUGCCUGAAUUCUUUAAUUGGAAAAGACUCAAGACAAAUAUGAGAGACCACCAGAUCCCUUCCUGUCAUCUGUAAGUAAUUUUCAAAGACUACAAUGCUGUAGGCAUGUCAAGUUUUCAGUAAUCUCAGGAGGAGAGAGGGAAUAUGCUAAACUAAAUACCAGGUAGUAUAUGUUACUUGUCCUGGGAGGCCAGCAUGCCAAUUGAACCAAAAUUAUGCUCUUCAUUGGAAAACUGCCUGCAGCUUUAAUCAGCUUUAGCUGAUUUUUUUUUUUUUUUCAGAGUACCAUAUUUACCAAGACGUAGGGCAACCCUGAAUGGAAGAUGGCCUCUCACUGUCUUAUCAGAUCCUAACUUCCUGGAAAAGUCUGAAGACAUCCUGCAGAUGUAAGGUCCUGAUUGCACUCAUAACCAUGUGAUUGCCUGAAUUUAGCUGUAGCUUUAGACUUCCAGCUUACAGGAAGUUUGUUGGGGGCCAUUCCCAAACAUUUCUCUUCACUCAGCCAAGCAGAACAUAAGCAGUGCUCUAAAAAUAAGAAAGCUGAUAUAAAAUUAUUUUGUUUGGACCUGUAUCCCAGUAUUGCACAUAGUUAAAGUGCUCAGAGCCACAUGAAAACACAGCUUUGAACCACAGGAGAAAAGUCAUGGCUCAAGGAUGUAUUACACAUAUGUGAGGACUACACGGAUGACUUGACAGCUUACAGUUGCUUGGGAGGAAUACGUUUCAGGAAGGCCAGGGCUGUAGAUCAUUGCCUGGCGUCUCUUCAGCUCUGUAAACUGUUCUCUCCAGGAUCAGGUUUCAGAAAGGAAUGCCGUCACGGGAGAUUUUACCCGAUGACUAAAACUGCUGACUUUCCAGUGCGAUGUUUAACCUCCCAUUCCACGCUCCACGCUUGCUUUAUUUACUAAUCCAGUCUGUAGCUGUGAUGUGGCAGAAGAAUGGGGAUAAACUAUGCCUUGAGAGCAUAUGUAUGAGUGGAGAAAGUACCACCAUCUCCCCAGCCAUUGUACUUGUAUAAGCCCAAA
Molecule: non-coding RNA, 4886 nt
Organism: Taeniopygia guttata (zebra finch)
Lineage: Eukaryota; Metazoa; Chordata; Aves; Passeriformes; Estrildidae
Source: RefSeq, a predicted model, not a curated record